Molecule: small nuclear RNA, 163 nt
Organism: Cavia aperea (Brazilian guinea pig)
Lineage: Eukaryota; Metazoa; Chordata; Mammalia; Rodentia; Caviidae
Gene: U1
Rfam family: U1 spliceosomal RNA
About the family: U1 is a small nuclear RNA (snRNA) component of the spliceosome (involved in pre-mRNA splicing). Its 5' end forms complementary base pairs with the 5' splice junction, thus defining the 5' donor site of an intron.
Source: Ensembl
AUACUUACCUGGCAGGGCAGAUACCAUGAUCACGAAGGUGCUUUCCACAGGGUGAGGCUUAUCCAUUGCACUGUGGAUGUGCUGACUCCUGUGAUUUCCCCAAAUGUGGGAAACUCAAUUGCAUAAUUUAUGGUAGUGGGGGGACUAUGUUCACGCUCUCCGA